RNAcentral lists this ribosomal RNA (1200 nucleotides) under metagenome. Its description in RNAcentral is "bacterial SSU rRNA". It matches the Rfam family "Bacterial small subunit ribosomal RNA", at positions 295 to 1486 of the family's 1533-position model. The record is from RNAcentral.
GGAGGACGGCCAGCAACACUGGGACUGAGACACUGCCCAGACUCCUACGGGAGGCUGCAGUCGAGAAUAUUUAGCAAUGGACGAAAGUCUGACUAUGCGACGCCGCGUGAGGGAUGAAGGAUUUCGGUUCGUAAACCUCUUUUGGCAGGGAAGAAAAAGUUGCAUCUAACACAUGCAAAACUGACGGUACCUGCAGAAUAAGCCACGGCUAACUCCGUGCCAGCAGCCGCGGUAAUACGGAGGUGGCUAGCGUUACUCGGAAUUAUUGGGUGUAAAGGGCAAGUAGGCGGCUUGGCAAGUGGGGGGUGAAAUACUCCGGCUCAAUCGGAGAACUGCCUUCCAAACUGCCAGGCUUGAGUGUGACAGAGGAAAAUGGAAUUCUCGGUGAAAGGGCGAAAUCUGUAGAUAUCGAGAAGAACACCAGCGGCGAAGGCGAUUUUCUGGGUCACUACUGACGCUAAAUUGCGAAAGCUAGGGGAGCAAACAGAAUUAGAUACUCUGGUAGUCCUAGCCGUAAACGAUGAGCACUAGAUGUCGGUCCCUUUAGGGGUCGGUGUCGCAGCUAACGCAUUAAGUGCUCCACCUGGGGACUACGGUCGCAAGGCUAAAACUCAAAGGAAUUGACGGGGGCCCGCACAAGCGGUGGAACAUGUGGUUUAAUUCGAAGCUACGCGAAGAACCUCACCAGGGCUUGACAUAUGGGAAGUAGUGAAAUGAAAGUGGAACGACCUGUCAAGUCAGGAACCUAUACAGGUGCUGCAUGGCUGUCGUCAGCUCGUGUCGUGAGAUGUUGGGUUAAGUCCCGCAACGAGCGCAACCAUUAUCCUUUGUUGCCACUUACCUCUAGCUUGCUAGAGGUGAAGCACUCUAAGGAGACUGCCUGGGAUAACCAGGAGGAAGGUGGAGAUGACGUCAAGUCAGUACGGCCUUUAUGCCCUGGGCGACACACGUGUUACAAUGGGUGAGACAGAGGGUUGCCAACCCGCGAGGGGGAGCUAAUCUCUAAAAUUCAUCCUCAGUUCAGAUUGGAGUCUGCAAUUCGACUCCAGGAAGCCGGAAUCGCUAGUAAUGGCAGAUCAGCACGCUGCCGUGAAUACGUUCCCGGGCCUUGUACACACCGCCCGUCAAGCGAUGGGAGCGAGGAGUACCCGAAGUCCUGUGUAGGCAGGCCGAAGGUAAAACUCGUGACUGGCGCUAAGU